CGCGUAGGCGGUGGAACAAGUCACAUGUGAAAUACCAGGGCUCAACUCUGGGGGGUCAUGUGAAACUGUUUUACUUGAGUGCAGUAGAGGGAAGCGGAAUUCCUGGUGUAGCGGUAAAAUGCGUAGGGAUCAGGAGGAACACCGGUGGCGAAGGCGGCUUUCUGGGCUGUAACUGACGCUGAGGCGCGAAAGCGUGGGGAGCAAACAGGAUUAGAUACCCUGGUAGUCCACGCGGUAAACGAUGAUUACUAGGUGUAGAGGACGCAGGUCUUCUGUGCCGGAGCAAACGCAAUAAGUAAUCCGCCUGGGGAGUACGGCCGCAAGGUUGAA
RNAcentral lists this ribosomal RNA (330 nucleotides) under uncultured bacterium. Its description in RNAcentral is "bacterial SSU rRNA". It matches the Rfam family "Bacterial small subunit ribosomal RNA", at positions 568 to 898 of the family's 1533-position model. The record is from RNAcentral.